RNAcentral lists this long non-coding RNA (1106 nucleotides) under Sarcophilus harrisii (Tasmanian devil). RNAcentral describes it as "lncRNA (ENSSHAG00000026161.1)". The record is from RNAcentral. Lineage: Eukaryota; Metazoa; Chordata; Mammalia; Dasyuromorphia; Dasyuridae.
AUGUCUUUAUUGCUAUGUUUGCAGGUGGCUUUUUAGCAGUCACAAUGUCCCAGGGCGCAAACCCCCCCCUCCUCCCCAAGACCUGUGGGACCCCAUUUUGGCUGUCAGGGUUUUUUUUGGGGGGGGGGUUGGGGUUUUGUUUUUUGUUUGUUUUUGUUUUUGACAUAAAGCGGAUUAAAGCUUCUACGUGGAAGACCGAAAUACUCAAAUGCAGACAGAAAAGAGGGAGACAUGGGCAGUGCCCUUUCCUGGGAUGGGGGUCAAUGAGUGUGAACCAGGCUGGUCUGUCAAUAGAAUACUGGCCACCCAGACAACAUUGCUGGGCAGAUUCUGACCUGACCACUCAUGUUGGUUAGAACUGACUAAAGGGGGACUAGGAUUGAAGGCUUUUUUUCCAGCUUUUUUUUUUUUUUUCUAACAAAAUUAGAUCUCUAUCAGACUCUUGGGGGUGGAGGAGGGUCAUUUCUGUUUUUAGAAAUAUACAGGCAGAAAUCACUCUUCUUAGAGUUUUUACAAAAUGUGCAAAAUACAAGUCUUCUUUGCCCUCAGGCAUAAUUUACACCUGGUAUUCUUGAUUCCAUAUAUAUCUAUAUACCGUAUAUAUAUAUAUGUGUGUAUAUAUAUAUGUAUUGUAUAUAUCUAUAUACUGUAUAUAUAUCUAUAUAUAGCCACUGUAUAUAUGUACACACCACGAGCACACGAGAGCGGGCGGGAGGGACGCACACACGUACACGUACACGCACACACACGGGGUCGUCAGCAAUUUGGUCUUGAGGGUCAGGGGCCAGAAGACACCUAACAAGCUCGAUGAUCUAGGAGGUGGGGGAGAAACUCAGAAUUGUUUUUACUUUAGCAGAGUACAAAAACAAAGCUACAGCUGGCACACAGAGUGGCUGGAACAAGCCAGGUGAGGAGAAAAGUCCCAUCCAUCAAAAAGCUCCUCCAGCUUUGGGGGGGGGGGGGGGGGGGGGGCAACAUUCCCACUCAUGGGAGAAUUGCCACUGAUGCCAUGGGUGGGGGUGGGGGGGCAACAUUCCCACUCAUGGGAGAAUUGCCACUGAUGCCAUGGGUGGGGGUUGGGGGGCAACAUUCCACUCAUGGGAGAA